UUAAAUUGAAGAGUUUGAUCAUGGCUCAGAUUGAACGCUGGCGGCAGGCCUAACACAUGCAAGUCGAACGGUAACAGGAAGCAGCUUGCUGCUUCGCUGACGAGUGGCGGACGGGUGAGUAAUGUCUGGGAAACUGCCUGAUGGAGGGGGAUAACUACUGGAAACGGUGGCUAAUACCGCAUAACGUCGCAAGACCAAAGAGGGGGACCUUCGGGCCUCUUGCCAUCAGAUGUGCCCAGAUGGGAUUAGCUAGUUGGUGAGGUAACGGCUCACCAAGGCGACGAUCCCUAGCUGGUCUGAGAGGAUGACCAGCCACACUGGAACUGAGACACGGUCCAGACUCCUACGGGAGGCAGCAGUGGGGAAUAUUGCACAAUGGGCGCAAGCCUGAUGCAGCCAUGCCGCGUGUAUGAAGAAGGCCUUCGGGUUGUAAAGUACUUUCAGCGGGGAGGAAGGUGUUGUGGUUAAUAACCACAGCAAUUGACGUUACCCGCAGAAGAAGCACCGGCUAACUCCGUGCCAGCAGCCGCGGUAAUACGGAGGGUGCAAGCGUUAAUCGGAAUUACUGGGCGUAAAGCGCACGCAGGCGGUCUGUCAAGUCGGAUGUGAAAUCCCCGGGCUCAACCUGGGAACUGCAUUCGAAACUGGCAGGCUUGAGUCUUGUAGAGGGGGGUAGAAUUCCAGGUGUAGCGGUGAAAUGCGUAGAGAUCUGGAGGAAUACCGGUGGCGAAGGCGGCCCCCUGGACAAAGACUGACGCUCAGGUGCGAAAGCGUGGGGAGCAAACAGGAUUAGAUACCCUGGUAGUCCACGCCGUAAACGAUGUCUACUUGGAGGUUGUGCCCUUGAGGCGUGGCUUCCGGAGCUAACGCGUUAAGUAGACCGCCUGGGGAGUACGGCCGCAAGGUUAAAACUCAAAUGAAUUGACGGGGGCCCGCACAAGCGGUGGAGCAUGUGGUUUAAUUCGAUGCAACGCGAAGAACCUUACCUGGUCUUGACAUCCACAGAACUUUCCAGAGAUGGAUUGGUGCCUUCGGGAACUGUGAGACAGGUGCUGCAUGGCUGUCGUCAGCUCGUGUUGUGAAAUGUUGGGUUAAGUCCCGCAACGAGCGCAACCCUUAUCCUUUGUUGCCAGCGGUCCGGCCGGGAACUCAAAGGAGACUGCCAGUGAUAAACUGGAGGAAGGUGGGGAUGACGUCAAGUCAUCAUGGCCCUUACGACCAGGGCUACACACGUGCUACAAUGGCGCAUACAAAGAGAAGCGACCUCGCGAGAGCAAGCGGACCUCAUAAAGUGCGUCGUAGUCCGGAUUGGAGUCUGCAACUCGACUCCAUGAAGUCGGAAUCGCUAGUAAUCGUGGAUCAGAAUGCCACGGUGAAUACGUUCCCGGGCCUUGUACACACCGCCCGUCACACCAUGGGAGUGGGUUGCAAAAGAAGUAGGUAGCUUAACCUUCGGGAGGGCGCUUACCACUUUGUGAUUCAUGACUGGGGUGAAGUCGUAACAAGGUAACCGUAGGGGAACCUGCGGUUGGAUCACCUCCUUACCUUAAAGAAGC
This 1556-nucleotide ribosomal RNA is filed under the name Salmonella enterica subsp. enterica serovar Yovokome str. S-1850. RNAcentral describes it as "bacterial SSU rRNA". It matches the Rfam family "Bacterial small subunit ribosomal RNA". Lineage: Bacteria; Pseudomonadati; Pseudomonadota; Gammaproteobacteria; Enterobacterales; Enterobacteriaceae. The record is from RNAcentral.